This 508-nucleotide ribosomal RNA is filed under the name uncultured bacterium. RNAcentral's name for it is "partial 16S ribosomal RNA". It matches the Rfam family "Bacterial small subunit ribosomal RNA", at positions 30 to 523 of the family's 1533-position model. The record is from RNAcentral.
AUUGAACGCUGGCGGCAUGCCUUACACAUGCAAGUCGAACGGCAGCGGGGGAGAAGCUUGCUUUUCCUGCCGGCGAGCGGCGAACGGGUGAGUAAUACAUCGGAACGUGCCCUGUAGUGGGGGAUAACUAGUCGAAAGAUUAGCUAAUACCGCAUACGACCUGAGGGUGAAAGUGGGGGACCGCAAGGCCUCAUGCUAUAGGAGCGGCCGAUGGCUGAUUAGCUAGUUGGUGGGGUAAAGGCCUACCAAGGCGACGAUCAGUAGCUGGUCUGAGAGGACGAUCAGCCACACUGGGACUGAGACACGGCCCCGACUCCUACGGGAGGCAGCAGUGGGGAAUUUUGGACAAUGGGCGAAAGCCUGAUCCAGCAAUGCCGCGUGUGUGAAGAAGGCCUUCGGGUUGUAAAGCACUUUUGUCCGGAAAGAAAUGGCUCUGGUUAAUACCUGGGGUCGAUGACGGUACCGGAAGAAUAAGGACCGGCUAACUACGUGCCAGCAGCCGCCGUAA